UGUUACUAAAUGUGCAUGUUUACAUGUACAUUCAUUUCACAACAGACUAGUGGAGAUUUAACACAAUCCACAUGAAAUUAUACAAUAACAGGUCUGUUAUGCCCUUAGUUGUCUGAGGCUGCACGCGUGCGACAAUGGAAAUUGUAGUGCGCUAAUACAUGGAAACAUGUAUUUAAACGUGUCAAAUUAUUCCGCAGUUGGGAUCAUACAUUGUAAUUAUGUAUGUGAACAAGGAACUUCAAGUAAGUGUAUGUUACUAACGUACGCUG
This 269-nucleotide ribosomal RNA is filed under the name Rhabditida sp. PN1-5_R4_NF1. RNAcentral describes it as "partial small subunit ribosomal RNA". It matches the Rfam family "Eukaryotic small subunit ribosomal RNA", at positions 1373 to 1643 of the family's 1831-position model. Lineage: Eukaryota; Metazoa; Nematoda; Chromadorea; Rhabditida. The record is from RNAcentral.